RNAcentral lists this transfer RNA (77 nucleotides) under Glaciecola sp. HTCC2999. RNAcentral describes it as "tRNA-Arg(tct)". It matches the Rfam family "tRNA". Rfam says of the family: Transfer RNA (tRNA) molecules are approximately 80 nucleotides in length. Their secondary structure includes four short double-helical elements and three loops (D, anti-codon, and T loops). RNAcentral also lists the same sequence under 1 other name. The record is from RNAcentral. Lineage: Bacteria; Pseudomonadati; Pseudomonadota; Gammaproteobacteria; Alteromonadales; Alteromonadaceae.
GAGGGCGUAGCUCAGCUGGAUAGAGCAUCUGCCUUCUAAGCAGACGGUCGCAGGUUCGAAUCCUGCCGUCCUCGCCA